AAGCAUAUAAUUAAAUCGGGUUGCUACGAAGUCGCGUUAUCUACGCUUCGUCGUUUCUAUGCUCUUUGUGUUCGCCUCUCUUGAAAACAACGAAACAAAACAAAAAAGAAAAUCAAAAGAUCCAACAUAAUGAUUAAAAGUUACCUCACCAUACUAAGUCCCUUAACAUCAUCAUUUAAACAUUCAUAAUCAUCUUCAUGAUUUUUCAUCAUGAUUUUUGCUUCAUAUCUCUAUAAGCAUAAUAAGAUACAUCAUUUGUAACAUCACAUUUUUUACGAAGCAUUAUUGUCAUCGUUGCAGCAUCACUGAUAACGUUUAAAAAGUCAAUGUCAUCGGCAUCCGUCCAAAAGUUUCUUCGGACGCACGAUGUUGUGUGUAUCGUUUUCGCACGAAUACGCGCGCGUUUAUAUAUAUAUAUAUGUACUUUUUUUUAGAGCAAAGUGCACAUACGAUAUACUUUCGUAUAUUCAUUGUAUGUCGUCAAUGUAUAUAUGUGUGUGUGCGCGCGCGCGCGUAUGUAUCAAGUAUAGAUAACGACGUACAUACGACGCGCGUGCUCACGUAUCAUGUACUUGGUGUUCAAUUUGUAAUGUGUUACGUAGUAUAUAUACAUGGCGUGCAAGUGGUAUAUAUAUAUAUAUAUAUAUAUAUAUAUAUAAAGUUGAAGUCCCAAGUCGAGAAAAAAAAAAAAAAAAAAACAAAAAACAUGGAAACUCUGUCCUCUCCCGCUCUUUCUCUCGUCGAACAACAACAUCGAGUUGUACCAAAUACAAGUUUAAACUAGUUUCAAUCUACGUUUAAAAUUCUCGCGAAUGGCAGAGAGCAGAGAAAAGUCGCGAUCUUUCUCACUCCUGGAUUUAAACAAGAACAGACAUUCUCGUGUUGUAACCUUCUGUCUGUCUCCGCUAGAAAAGAAAGCGGACGGUGGAGGAAGAAUUCGUGAGGCUUUUCAAAAGAAAGAGAUUCGCAUGUACCUGCUGCUGAAUGAAGGGGAUGACUAAAAAAAUCCCCCCGAUCAUUCACGGGAAAGAAGCAUCGCACUAAACGCGCCUACGUGACACAGAUCGACGACAUCGACGAGAUACGUAGGUAUCUCAAGUAACGUCGCAAUAUUUAAAAAAAAACCGAUCGACGAAUGGUACCUUUUUCUCUUUUUCUCUUUCUUUAUUUACCCCUUCCCUUUCUCUCUGCCUUUUUUUCCUUUUAUCCUUUUCAGAUCUUCCGGAAGAGAAAUAAAUAUUGACCAAAGCGAAUUCGUGAGAGGACGGAGCCUCGACUCUUUCUUUCUCUUCUCUCUUUCUCUCUCUUUGUGUUGGUAAGAGAAGAGAUAAUGAACGUUUGUGUGAACGAGACUAGUGACCGUAGACAGGCAGACAGGCAGGCGGACAGGCGGGCAGGCAGACAGGCAGACAGGCAGGCGAAGAGUACGAUUAUCUUUCGGACAGAGCGUUACUACUAAUUGUCAGCAAAGAUAGUAUAAAAAUGUAGCAAUUGUGAGUACGAUGAGCGAAAACUUCAAAGAUCAAACUAAACAUGGCCACAUCUGGAACUAUUCUGAGCGGGCGGCUGCACGGAACCUGGGAAAGGCGGUCGAGCGAGCGGGAGCGGGUCAGGGGUGGGGGGGUAUGGUUACCUUCGCUUUCACCAAUCGUAGAACAUACGUAUGGAUCACGUGCUUCUCCACCCUUUAUUUGGUCUUCCCCCCCAUUCCUUCUCCGUUCUCACCAACGCUCUUUCUUGGCGCUCUCUUCUCUCUUCUCUCUGCCGCCAUGUUUCCAUCACCACCCGUUCCGUUAGCACGCGUCAUUCUACGCGAAAGAAAUUCCUGAAGUUGUCGAGAUCGUUCCCUCGUCUCUUCCAACGCAAUGGCGGACUUAAUAGCAUCUACUAACUAUCGUGAAAACAUCUAAUCUGAAAGUUGCUACUUUUGAUCAAUGAUAGUCACGGUUAUCGAACAUUGCACAAACAGAAAAGCGUGUUUUGUUUCGAAACAGACAAUGAACAAUUAUUUUCUUUGUAAUUAUCGGUACUAUCAUAUUACUCAUUAUAUAUAUAUAUAUAUAUAUAUGUGUGUGUGUGUGUGUGUGUAAGUGGAUAAGUUAUGUAUUUAUACAUAUUAACAAUAAUA
Vespa velutina is the source of this 2128-nucleotide long non-coding RNA. RefSeq lists it as uncharacterized. The record is from RefSeq and is a predicted model, not a curated record. The transcript has 4 exons. Lineage: Eukaryota; Metazoa; Arthropoda; Insecta; Hymenoptera; Vespidae.